AGCAGUAGGGAAUCUUCCACAAUGGGCGCAAGCCUGAUGGAGCAACACCGCGUGAGUGAAGAAGGGUUUCGGCUCGUAAAGCUCUGUUGUUGGAGAAGAACGUGCGUGAGAGUAACUGUUCACGCAGUGACGGUAUCCAACCAGAAAGUCACGGCUAACUACGUGCCAGCAGCCGCGGUAAUACGUAGGUGGCAAGCGUUAUCCGGAUUUAUUGGGCGUAAAGCGAGCGCAGGCGGUUGCUUAGGUCUGAUGCGAAAGCCUUCGGCUUAACCGAAGAAGUGCAUCGGAAACCGGGCGACUUGAGUGCAGAAGAGGACAGUGGAACUCCAUGUGUAGCGGUGAAAU
This 345-nucleotide ribosomal RNA is filed under the name uncultured Lactobacillus sp. Its description in RNAcentral is "bacterial SSU rRNA". It matches the Rfam family "Bacterial small subunit ribosomal RNA", at positions 350 to 687 of the family's 1533-position model. Lineage: Bacteria; Bacillati; Bacillota; Bacilli; Lactobacillales; Lactobacillaceae. The record is from RNAcentral.